This 483-nucleotide ribosomal RNA is filed under the name uncultured bacterium. Its description in RNAcentral is "partial 16S ribosomal RNA". It matches the Rfam family "Bacterial small subunit ribosomal RNA", at positions 30 to 506 of the family's 1533-position model. The record is from RNAcentral.
AUUGAACGCUGGCGGCAGGCCUAACACAUGCAAGUCGAGCGGAUGAAGGGAGCUUGCUCCUGGAUUCAGCGGCGGACGGGUGAGUAAUGCCUAGGAAUCUGCCUGGUAGUGGGGGAUAACGUCCGGAAACGGGCGCUAAUACCGCAUACGUCCUGAGGGAGAAAGUGGGGGAUCUUCGGACCUCACGCUAUCAGAUGAGCCUAGGUCGGAUUAGCUAGUUGGUGGGGUAAAGGCCUACCAAGGCGACGAUCCGUAACUGGUCUGAGAGGAUGAUCAGUCACACUGGAACUGAGACACGGUCCAGACUCCUACGGGAGGCAGCAGUGGGGAAUAUUGGACAAUGGGCGAAAGCCUGAUCCAGCCAUGCCGCGUGUGUGAAGAAGGUCUUCGGAUUGUAAAGCACUUUAAGUUGGGAGGAAGGGCAGUAAGUUAAUACCUUGCUGUUUUGACGUGACCAACAGAAUAAGCACCGGCGAACUUCGU